GGUGGGGUUCCCGAGCGGCCGAAGGGAGCAGACUGUAAAUCUGCCGUCAUCGACUUCGAAGGUUCGAAUCCUUCCCCCACCACCA
Molecule: transfer RNA, 85 nt
Filed under: Escherichia coli
Lineage: Bacteria; Pseudomonadati; Pseudomonadota; Gammaproteobacteria; Enterobacterales; Enterobacteriaceae
Also listed under: 2 other names
Description: tRNA-Tyr
Rfam family: tRNA
About the family: Transfer RNA (tRNA) molecules are approximately 80 nucleotides in length.
Source: RNAcentral